CCCAACGUGGGGCAAAACAAGGGAGAGGAAAAAAAGGCUUUCCACAGCACCUACCUCCAGUGGCAAAACGGGGCCCAUUGAGAAACAGAAAAGAGGAGGUAAGUUAAGCAUACCUCUCUCUCUUUAUUUUAUUUAUUUAUUUAUUUAUUUUAACAUAAGAUUUGCCACACAGAGGUUCUGCUUUGGAAAGAAUGUAUUGAUUUUAAAGGCGAGACAAGUGAGGCAUUGCUGCUUCUUUUUGUGACCACCAGUUGUAAUUUUCCGCGGAAAAUGGAUUGUCAUAAAAUACGAAAAGAUGAGGAACGUGGAUUCCAACACAAUUGACAAACUCGACAAUCUUAAUGAAGUGACAUGUGACUCCCAGCCGCUUUAAUCGUACGUCUCGUUAGAAAACGCUAGUAUGACGACGAAUAGAAAAUGGAUCGGACCAUGACGGUUUAAGCUGAAGUUUUCUAAUAUAUAUAACUUUUUAGAAUCAAAAAAUCAUCAUGAGGGUGAUUUUAGAAACAUGGGCUGGUCGGAGUCUUAAGAGGUGAAGCCUCUGAGUAAGCCGUUCUCUCUAGCUCGUACCCGUUUGUACGUGCGAGUAUUUGAAAGAUCGGGCCGAACUGAAGUUGUUUUGUGAAGCUGAGAUCUCCGGUUUAGGCUUUGAGGUGAGAAGAAACCUCCGAUUAAAUUUGAAAUAGUAGGCCUGUUUUGACUUGUUACUCCCAGCCGCUUUAAUCGUACGUCUCGUUAGAAAACGCUAGUAUGACGACGAAUAGAAGAUGAAUCGGACCAUAACGGUUUAAGCUGAAGUCUUCUAAUAUAUAUAUCUUUUUAGAAUAAAGAAAUCAUUGUAAAAGGUUGGUUUCAUAAAUGUCCGGCUGGUCGGAGUAUUAAGAGGUAGAGCCUCUUUGAGAAGUGAAGCGUGAAGCGCUGUACAUGGCCGAUUGGAGGUUCGACUUGCGAGUGACUCCAAUGAGAUGUGGCCUUAGUGAACUGCAGUUGUUUUGUGAAGCUGAGAUCUCUGGUUUAGGCUUUGAGGUGAGAAAAACCUCCGGUUAAAUUUUGAAAUAGUAGGCCUGUUUGGUGCAUGCAGAUUUUUUUUUUUCGGGCGAGGCCCUAGUUGUAAGCGCUUGUAAAAGAGAAAUGAGGUUUCUCUUGGAUCAUCAGUGUGUCUUAAAGAGUUAACUGCAGUCUGGGUUGUUUGAGUACUCUGGUUUAGGUAACGAGGUGAAAACCUCCUAUUAAAUUUGACAUAGAAGGCCUGUUCUAAAGCACGUGCAGUAUGAACUUUUUUUUUACUCUUGUUUUUCUCCUUGUAUUAUGGGUCCUUUAAAAUUAAAAGCCAAAAUUCACUGUGCGCACAUAUAUAAAAUAAGAGAAUUGGACAUCUGGACCAUCAGGAAAGCCACUAGUUUCCCAAAGAAGUGAGAUGAGAGAAAUGAUUCUGAAAUGAGCGAUCAGGAGAGAGUUUGAGAUGCGUGUGCAUGAGACGUCUAUUUGUGAGUCUAUAUGAGAGCUCUGUUUGACAAAAAAAAGCAUGUAUGGAACUGAGUUUGUUUGCUGUAUAUUUGUUGUUCUCUUAAAAGUCGCAUUGUCUGAAUUAAGGGUAAAGUUUGUCAUAUUUGAUGAGGAAAAGUGCAUGAAAACUUAUUUUUCUGUAAGGAGAUAUUGCUGGACCAGGGUGGGUGUAUUUGUUGAGCUGCAGUAUUGACCCUCCCCCCCCCCCUUGUGGAGGCCCCAGCGACUUUGUCCCCCCACUUCGUCAGUGAGAGCCUGCUUUCGCUCUGCUCUCCCCCGGCCAAAGAAGAAAAAAAAAAAAACUUGAGGGUAGAGUUUGAAUUGGAAGAGUAUCUUACAAAAAAAAAAAAAAAAAAACUAUAACCCCUUGGUACCUCCUUGGCAACCCUUCUCGUUUGCCAACUUAAACUCACUCUGUUCAAAGAACAUUAACCCAUUAAUAACCCUACUGUCGACAUUUGGGUUUACUAGAUCGAUCCAUGAUUUUGAGUUUGAGUUGGGGCCUACUUAGAAUGGAUGUUUAAUUGGACGUGUGAUGUGAUGUAUGGGGUUAUUUGAAUGGGUGAAAUGCAUGUGAUAAGGUAUUAACACUGCAUGUUUGGCUUUAAGCAUUAACAGUUGCUUCAAUCGUAAUGCAGAGCAAACUCGCUGUGUAAAAGCAGACACACACACACACGCGCAUGCUUUUAAAUAACUGCUGACAAGCAACUAGAAACGCAAAACUAUUUAUAGCAAUUAAUAGAAUAAAUGCCGGCAAGAUUAUCUAUAACAUACAAAAGUUUGUGUUUGUGUAAAUGUUGUCUAAAUGUUGUGUACGUCUGUCUCUAAGUGUUGUUUAGGGGUAUUUUGUGCAAAUGUUUAAUCUAUGUGUGAAGGCGGUUUACUGACAGUUGUCUGACGUUUGUCUGUGCUAUCGCAGUAUGUUUUAAUAAUGAUGUUGACAAGCAUUAUUAACGUAAUGAAAUAGUGGAUCAACGAGAAUUUAUUAUUGUAAACAAGGGUCAAAAGUUUUAGCUGUCCACAAUGCCUGAUGUCUCAGUAUUCACAAAAGUCCGGACUGAAGUGAAUGUUGGCGAAUUGCCUUGAGAUUAUGCAUUGGAUUGCACUAAAUUCUUAGGAAUACUGGGGUGUCAGUCAGGCUGGAACUCAAUUGUGAGGUUGAUUAAAAGAAAUCAUCAUCCAUAAGCAUUCGUCAGUAUCAGGAGUAUUAGAGAGAAAAACCAUGAAUGAUGUCUGUGUAUUAUGUGAUAAUGAUGUCUUAAGAACUAGGAUCAUUAGACUAUUGGUAUAUUUACGGUAACAUAUACUUGAGUUAAUGGUUUAGAUAAUUAAAGUGUAAAUAUUACUGAACUUUGCGGUUAUGCAAAAAACUUUGGAAGUGGUUGUGUCUCUCCUCUCCUAAAUUCCAUGAUUGACACAAUGCCAGGAGCUGCAGAGCUCUGAGAGCAAACUGCAGAGAGGAGAGGAGAGCAGCAGAAGGGGGGGCUGAGACUCCCGACUGCACAUGGGCGACCCUAGAAAAAACAGGGCCCCAACAUAUUUGACGUCUGUCGAAUCACUAUGAAUCAAUAAACCAUAAAAUUUAAGGAAUAUGGGAAAUCUGGAUAAUUAACAAUAACUUAAACGGGAAACUGAAAAGGAGGCUUGUGAUAAAAAGGUACUUCUAAAUUAGUUCACCUUUGGUUGGUUCACCAUUGGGACUGGUUAUUAAAAUACAAGUUUAAUGUAAGCAACAGCUAAAUAUUGCAGCAUUAACAGUGAUUAAUAAGGUCUAAUUUGAAUAGAAUUAGAGUUGUCAAAGAAUAGGUUGUGAUAAUUGUCAUCCUUACUAAAAAUAAUAAAAUAAAAUAACUUAGAGUGCGAAGUAAGAUGGUGAAUUAAUUAUUUUGCCAUUGGGAAACCUCCUUGAAUUUAUGUGAUAACAUCCAAAAUUAUAAAAUGACUUCAGAAAAUUGGUUAAUUUCGUUGCAGGGAAAGUAAUGAACAAAAUAGAACAUAAGAAAACUUAAGGAAUCAACUCAUUAAUCUCUAAAUGGUGGAUCUGAUGAAAAGGGUUGCACACGCUGAAAUGGCACUGAAGGAGAAAUGCCUAAUGAGGUUUGUCAACACGGAGAACCAGAACAAAAUCUUCCUCAGCUGGAGUCCUGUAUGGAUUCCAGAGCACUGGCUCAAUGGCUGCUCAGACAUGGAGCAGCGAAGGACGCUCAGGCCGUCAGGAAACACGGCUGAGCAAAGGAAGCGGUCUCCACAUCUGUUGACAAUGACCAGGAAAAAGAGCUGCAGCACACUGAUAUUUGUGAAAACCCAGCAACUGAAGGUCCACCACAAGAAUUAGCACAAUCCAAUCGAUUUAAUUAAUUCUGGAGGUAAAGUAAAACAAACAUUGAGAAUGGCAACUAGUUACUAUAAAGUAACAAAAUUACAUAAGUGGCUAAAAUUAAAUUGUCCAGUGUAAUUAUUAACAGAAAAUUCCCCUUCCUCAGUAAAGUUAACAUUUUAUUUUAUUCCUUUGAAGGUAAACCAGCAGAUUGUUGAAUAAUAAAGACGAUGGUUUCUCCUAUGACAAAGUAAUUAAUUACCUCAUGUACUGUUAAUUCGGAAAUAGGCACUUUUAAGAAGAGGAUAGCAGGUUUUGAGCAUUACAGAACAAAUUAAGUAUUCAACACUAGAGUGUCACGUUAUGAUUAAAUGACACGAGUUGAUUGGGAAAGCAAUAACGUAUGUAUUUGAAAACAAUUAUUCUGCAAGCAUUGUUAAAAUACAUAAACACUAGAAAAAGAUUAUAGUCAUAAAGUAAAAGAAUUUGGUUUGAAGAAAUUUCAGAAAUAGUAUUGAACCCUGAGAACUAAGUACUUUUAUUUAUUUCCUUUAAACUUUAGACAAAAGAAGGACAUGUUAUUAUUACUAACUUCUCUUUGCCAUUAUACUAAUAUUCUUAAAGUGGUUUGGAACAAAUUCAGCGAAGAAACACAAAUCACAAGCCUCUGCUCAGUUCAGUGAGUAUUUUAUUUCAGUAAUUAAAACCUUGGGUAAAAGUGAAUCAAUCUGUGACAGCAACCCGUUUUUGGUAUAACUAUAAAAAUCCUAAUGUAAAAGGAUACAUGGUGUACUUGUAAAUGCUUCAUUUGAAAAUUGAGUUUCUCACCAGGUAAACAGACUCAGCCAAAAUAAAAAAGAGUAAAUCACCGGAUUUAAUAGAGUAAUGACAGGACCAGGUUUUGAUUGCAUGCUUGGCAUUAACAACUCAGUCCUGAUUGAGAGCACUAACUGUUCUGUCUUCAGUCCUGUUUUUCAGAAGUUGAGAUUCUGUCCGGUUCUGGCCACCCUUUUUCUGAUGGAAGAUACAUCAAAAAGACGAGAAGAACAGCUGUAAAUUGAGCAUGGAGAGACGAGAUAUCUUUCAGGAGCAGACGGAGAGCAGAUUUGCACAGGAGAAUGGCUGAAUCUGGGUACUGGCAGAGUAAGCCCUGUGCACAUAUCCUUCUAAAUUGUGAAUUUUGAUGAAUGAUUUUGUGACAAAUGAGGACAUUGUAAACCUUUUUUGAUAAAUAUGUGUAAGGUCACUAUUUUGCCGUUGAUGUGGACUUUAAGUUCUAAAUGUGCUCAUGUAUUUUUUAUUUUUCUACUGUUCCUAUGUCCUGGAGUGGAGCAUGGUUCAUGGAGGAUGGGAUGAAUUGUCACCGAAGCGGACUUUCAUGUAUGGGCUGAUAAUAUAAUGAGAAAAGGUGAUGUUAUUAGAAAACAAUUCGAACAAUUUUUCAGUAAGACCAUUGCUUUAGCUGCUACAGGUUGCAUGUUAUGCUGUGGCUGAACAUUCUACAUUAUUUUCAAACAUUAUGUUCUCUAUGUUCUUAAUAUUUUGUUUUUAAUUGAGUCGGCAUAGCUGUUGUUUUUGUUUUGAUUUAAGCUUUCAGGUGAGCGAUCUUGGAAGGUAUUUAAAUUUGGAAGUUCAAGUCAAAUACACACAAAAAGAUCAUGUUGCAGGAUAAGUUAAGGUGCAAUUACGUAUAAACAGAGUGUUGUAAUGUUAUUAGUGAAUUCUUACAACUUAUACUCAGUACGAGUUGAGAUGAAACUAAAAAUGAAAUCAGAUGGACACUAAACAUCAAUGUUAAAGAAAAUGUACAUUAGCCCCAUUGGCAUUUAAAGGAUAUCAUCAUGAGACUAGUGAAGACUCUGAGCUGGGAAACCAUUGUAAUAUACGAUACUGGUUAGUUUUUCCUGUCUCCUUAGGGCGACCCAGGGACGUAGAAGGGCGGGGUCCCUCUUUGUGUGCUGGACUAAGGGACUCAGAUGUUUGCAACAGAGGGGGCCCUGCACCAGGACUGUGAGAAAGCAGUGCAAUUUAAUCAAAGGACCUUGGAGAGCGACAUAUGGUGUCAGCGACAUGAGGACAAGAACUUUGCCACACUACGAAGCUGCCAAUCCCAUCAAAUGUUACAAAUUCUGAUUUUAUCUAUGCUAUGCUAAAUCCCUGAAGUUUUUGAUUUAUGAUAAGGUGUAGGAUGGGUAUAUUUUUUAGGAAGAUGUUUUUGGGUGGUAACCAUAGAAACUGAAUGAUGAUAUUAUACUAUUCUAAUUUUUUUAAUUUUGCUUAAUAUGUUUGUCUUCUUUCCUGUUAUUUUUAAGAUGUUUAUGUUUUUUGACGACAUUGUGAGUACCAUGGCUGGGUUUCUGAGCCAUGCUGGUCGGUCAGGUGGUCGGCUGGCGGACGCCCGUGGGGGAGGGGUCCAUGCAACAGUUUUUACCCUGAAUGAACACAUAAAUACCAGCGACAGGGAUUUUUCGGUUGCAUAUGGUCAGAAAUAACUGGCAUAUGGAAAAACAAUGGACAUUUUGUACAUUCGUAUAUAGUUGAGUGCAUGUUUUUAUUUUAUUCUACAUUUACGACCAUACAUUACCAAUUUUUCUUUGUUCUUUUUUUCUGUUUGAUAAUCAGAGCAAGUAUUUUUACCCUUUUAUAUUCCUCUAGUGCUCCACAAUUACAUUAUUCCGUUUUUCUUAUAGUUCCCAGUGUGAUUUUCCCUUGAUAUGGCUCACGUAAGUGAGCCAAGGGGGGAUGUAUGGACGAAUUCAUCUUUUAUUAUUGCCAAGAUUGAAUCCAGGUUGUCUUAAUAACAGAAAUCACUGCCCAAGGAAUGAUUAGUUCUAGAAUAUUUGUACUGAAUCACAACAAGGUAAAGUAAGGCCAAAGGAACUUUAGUUAAACUACUCUUGGCUCUUACUCUGUUUCUGUCUUUUUCCAAAGUUCUGGUUAUAAGACUUCCUAGAAAUGGAAGAGCACACACCAUUUCACACACACACCCCUCCAACUAGGGAGGGAGGGCUUUUGGUCCAGAGCAGUGCCUGUACACAGUAAGAUAUCAUGUUCCUAUUUACGUCAUACUGUAUCCCUAUAAAGGCUGAAAGUUACCCCAUAUUGUUGGGAUUGUUGGGACUGCUGUGAAAUGAAGAUGAUUGUAAGUCCAGAAUAAACGAAUCCCCCUGCUGGUCAUUGAAGAGAA
Fundulus heteroclitus (mummichog) is the source of this 7010-nucleotide long non-coding RNA. RefSeq lists it as uncharacterized. The transcript is spliced from 2 exons. The record is from RefSeq and is a predicted model, not a curated record. NCBI's taxonomy places the organism in Eukaryota, Metazoa, Chordata, Actinopteri, Cyprinodontiformes, Fundulidae.